RNA transcript from Coffea arabica (coffee), 1420 nucleotides. It is a transcript of the gene named phytanoyl-CoA dioxygenase, with no coding region annotated. NCBI's taxonomy places the organism in Eukaryota, Viridiplantae, Streptophyta, Magnoliopsida, Gentianales, Rubiaceae. The record is from RefSeq and is a predicted model, not a curated record.
ACAUGAAUUGAAGGAAAAGGAAAAGAAAAGAAGGGUAAGACUACGAAACCAAAACAAAAGGAACACUAUAAAUAGAUGCAGCUGAUGCUGGGAUUUUCUACUAUUCGCCUGACUGGAGCAGAUAACUAUAGCUAGUAGUCUAGUGCAUUUUUCUGGGAUUCUCAAGCCUGCCACGAAGAAGAAGAAGAAGAAGAAUAAAACAAGUCAACAUGGGCAUCCAUGGAAGCCUCAGCUCAGACCAGCUUAACUUCUUCAAUACCCAAGGAUACUUGGUGAUGGAAUCAUUUUCAAGCCUAGAGGAGAUAGAAUCCAUGAGGAAAAGAAUGGAUGAUUUGCUUGAUGAAUUUGACCCUUCUACAACUUCCACUAUUUUUUCCACCAAAACCCACCAACAUGCUACAAAUGACUACUUCUUUGAAAGUGCUGAGAAGAUUUCAUUCUUCUUUGAAGAGAAAGCAUUUGAUGAGGAUGGUAACUUGAAGCAACCGAAGAAACUCUCAAUCAACAAAGUUGGACAUGCCUUAGAUGAGCUUGAUCCUGUAUUUAAGAAGUUCUCUAGGUCAGAUAAGCUGUCUGGGUUGUUGCUUUCAUUGGGUUAUAAAAAACCAGUUAUUAUCCAAUCCAUGUACAUCUUUAAGCAACCAGGUAUUGGAGGUGAAGUAGUGCCGCACCAGGAUAACUCCUUCCUCUAUACUGAACCAUCAACUUGCACAGGGCUGUGGCUUGCUUUAGAAGAUGCAACACUCGUAAAUGGUUGCCUUUGGGCCAUUCCUGGAUCCCAUAAAAAUGGCCUUGUGAGGAGAUUCAUUAGAGAUGAGAAUGGUGUACAUUUUGAUAAGCCAUCUCCAUCCUAUGACCAAAAAGAUUUUGUUCCUGUUGAAGUGAAAGCAGGGUCUUUGGUAGUCAUUCAUGGAGAUCUCAUCCACCAAAGUUUUGAGAAUCGGUCAUCACAAUCAAGACAUGCUUACAGUUUACAUGUGGUGGAUACUGAUGGUUGCAGAUGGGCACAAGAUAAUUGGAUAAGGAGAAAAGUAGAUCCAGAGCCCAUUUAUGGAUGAUGGAUUUUGGCCUGACUGAACAUAUUUGCAGUUUGCGUAAUAACCUGAAGCCGGCCUGCGUAUUAUUAGUUGUAACCUCGUUUUGUGCUCCCAUGGAUGACUCUCUGCAAUUGCACCAUAUAAUUAUUGACCCAGAUGGAAUAAUCUGAAUUUGAGUGGAUGGAGUUAAUUGUCCGAAACUACCUUCUGUGAGUAAAGAAAUUUGUUGUAUUUUUGCAGAUUUGUCUCGAAUCUGGGUGGAAAAGGAGCAUCACAUAAUAGUAAAUAGUACACUUGCGGCAGAUAUGGAUUAUUGUACGAUGCAUUAUUAUCACAAAACAAAAUAUUUAACUUAGGGUGCUGUUGAUAAAACCGUUAAAUUA